This 488-nucleotide long non-coding RNA is filed under the name Fukomys damarensis (Damara mole-rat). Its description in RNAcentral is "lncRNA (ENSFDAG00000032500.1)". Lineage: Eukaryota; Metazoa; Chordata; Mammalia; Rodentia; Bathyergidae. The record is from RNAcentral.
CUGUUUUCCUGAGUGCUGACACCAUUCCUGGCACAAAGUAAGGGCUCAACAAAUAUUUGCACGGUGAAUGAAUGGAUAUGGAAAACAGAAAGGGCUGGGGGGAUGGAGGGAACAUGGCCAGUGCUAAGUCUCGGGGUACCGUGUUUAGGAGGAGCUUGGGCUUUAGCCCUCAGACAUGGAGAGGGCCCUGAAGUUGUCUGCCACGAAGUGACAGCCCAGAUGAGCUGCAGAAAGCUAAGAGAGCCCAAACAGAGGGAGAAGAUCUGGAUGGAUACAUUUCUCCUGCCUGUGAGAGGUCUAUAUAUCACUGAGGAGUUAAAACAUAAAAAUAAAAUUGUGCUGGCUGUUGCUACCACGAAGCUAUCAAGCCAGGUCUUGUUGCCGAAGCCCUGGCAUCUGCCGUGUAAUUGGCGAGCACUUAGUCUCCCAUCCGUGGGUGGGGGCGGCUGACUUCUGUCUUUGUAGCCUCCUAAUUAAAAAGAACCAGG